AGGAUGAACGCUGGCGGUCUGCUUAACACAUGCAAGUCGAACGGAGUACCUCGGUACUUAGUGGCGGACGGGUGAGUAACGCGUGAGAAUCUGCCCUUAGGUCGGGGACAACCAUUGGAAACGAUGGCUAAAUACCGGAUAAGCCGAGAGGUAAAAGAUUAAUUGCCUAGGGAAGAGCUCGCGUCUGAUUAGCUAGUUGGUGAGGUAAAGGCUCACCAAGGCAUCGAUCAGUAGCUGGUCUGAGAGGAUGAUCAGCCACACUGGGACUGAGACACGGCCCAGACUCCUACGGGAGGCAGCAGUGGGGAAUUUUCCGCAAUGGGCGAAAGCCUGACGGAGCAAGACCGCGUGAGGGAGGAAGGCUCGUUGGGUUGUAAACCCUCUUUUCUUGGGGAAGAACAAAAUGACGGUACCCAAGGAAUCAGCAUCGGCUAACUCCGUGCCAGCAGCCGC
RNAcentral lists this ribosomal RNA (453 nucleotides) under uncultured bacterium. Its description in RNAcentral is "SSU rRNA". It matches the Rfam family "Bacterial small subunit ribosomal RNA", at positions 26 to 518 of the family's 1533-position model. The record is from RNAcentral.